AGCGCGUGAAAAUUACAACUAUUAACUGCGUGAUGUCACCGACUUAACCCUGCUUUAAAUAGACCCCUGGUUCCCUCAUUAGCUCAUACCUUUGUCAGUUCUCUCUCUUUACGCGCUUAAUAUUUGGUAGAUCUUACGUCAUCUUCUUCGUGGUUGGAAACUUGGAAUUUGCGCGCUUAAAAUUAGGGUUUUAAAAGAACAAUUAGUGUUUUGAGUGAAAUUUCGAGUUCAAAUUCGAAUUCCUGCGUAUAGUACUUCAUAAGUUGAUUAUAUGAUGUUUCUCUAGAGAUUUUACGAACUUGAUUGAAUAUUUUGGUUUGAUGUUCGAGUUUCGCGGAUAUCCUGAAGUUUAUUUUGAAUUUUGUCGCUUUUUGAUUUUGAUGUUCGAGUCUGCCAAGAUUUGGUGUUUUUGAUAGUUAUACAUCUUUUUGGUUUGGUUUCUUAGAAUUCGAUCUAUUACAUACAAUUUUUAUAUUCAUAUUUGAAGCUUGUGCGAUUGGACGGUGUCGAAGAGUUGUCGCAGUAAUUUGUGCUAGCAUCUAGGUAUUCGACUAUUCGAAAAAAAAAUCGUCCGAAAUUUUUUUAUUUAGUUCGAACUUUUGUUUUAUAUUGUCGAUUUUUUUUUCGAAACUUCAUUUUGUUGAGUUUGGCGUUUUAUUUAUUUUAUUUAUUAUUUUAUAACUUAUUAAAUCUCAAAUUGUUGCAUAUAUUAUAGGAUGCAUGUGAUGCAGCUGCUUCAAGCUUUAUGAUUAUUCAUUCCAUGGCCAAAUGGUAUAAGUAAAGACUAAAUGUGGCUUUGUAUUUCGAGAUCUUGUUUUGAUGGGUUGACUUUAUAUGUUUUCAUUCAGCAUUUCUUGAUUGUUCGGUUGUUUGCAGUAGUCUACUACUUAACAAUGCUUUGCUUAUCUACGUCUGAGUUUGGAAGGUCCAUCCUGAAUUGGUCUUGUGCAGAAACUUUCAGGUAGUUGUUCAAGAGUGAUGGAUCACAGUUUCAAUGGUGCUUCUAUUUACUGCAGUUUAUCGUAGGGGUAAGUUAAUAUUUAGGACUCAACUGAAUUUUUUUAAUGCAUACUACAUCUAUCUGUUAAAUAUCACUUUAGAUGUUGUAGGGCCAAAUUAAGAAAAUUAAACAUCAAUGUGAGUUUUUAGAUGAACAUCUUUUGAGCUGGUGGUUCAGAAAUCUUGAUAAGAGGCGUCAAUCCGUUUUAGUCUCCUUUUUUGGAAUUAUUUAUAGAUUUGGCUUUUUUCUCACGUCCUAACUAACUUGUUCUAUUUCAAAUAGAAGACAAAACUUUCGCGAAUAUUGGUUGAUUUAAUCAAUGGUUUAUGGACUUUAUUAGGAAUUUCAUUACCUUUUGAUUUUGAUAUUCGAGUUUUGCAAAGAAGUUGUGGUUUUCGAUGGUUAUACCGAUGAUUCGUCAUCAAUUUGUUUUGAGUUAUUCUCUUAUAUGAUCAUAUUUGAAAAAACAUUUUGGUCGAAAUUUUUUUGGUCCGAUUUUUUUUUUGGUCCGAUUUUUUUUUAUUUAGUUCAAUUUUUUUUUAUACUAGUUGUUUCUCCGCGCGCCUACGCGCACGGCUCCCAAAAUAGUAUCAUUGCGAUAUUUGUAGUCUGUUAGCCUUAAGUGGUGAAAUAUCUAUUUAGCACGUAUUCCAAACAGACGCUGAGUACACACGUAGUAUAUAAACAGCACCCACCACUAUACCUACCCUAUCUGCUGGGUGAGUCGUCAAUAGGUGAAGUAGAUUACCAGAGGAGAGAAGCAAUGAUAAACCAGCUAAAGCUGCAACUCACAAGAGCUCAGUCUAGAAUGAAACAACAUGCAGAUUUACACAAUCUGGCUAAAACUACAACCAUAUCACCAAACUUCAGUGCAAUCUAGAGCUAAUGUCAAGCUCUCCCAAACGUUCUUUGGCCCUUAUCAAAUUACAGUAGCCAUUGGUAAGGUGGCGUACAAGCUAGAGCUCCCUUCAGAAUCCAAAAUACACAAUGUUUUCCAUGUAUCACAACUGAAGGCUUUCCAUGGAACCCUUCCACAAGCUAUUCACAUCCCCACCUGGAUGCAAGGAAGAAACACUGAGCACUCUCUCAUACCAGCUCCCAUUAUUGACAGAAGGGUGGUGAAGUUUCAUAACAAGGCACAAGUUCAAUACCUAGUGUAGUGGACAGAUUGUUCAGUUGAGAAUGCUUCUUGGUUGCCAGCUGACAUUUUUGAGUAAAAGUUUCCUGACUUUGGAGCCCCUUGAAAUAUGGGUUUAUCCUUUUGCCAUAUGUUUGUUUACAAGUACUUUUUGUGUUUAAAGUUGUAAUUAAAUUUGAGGGAAAGUUUCCUAAAGGGGAAGGUAUGAUAUAGGCACGUGCCAAUGCUAGCUACUAGUCAUGUGACUAAGCGUAAAAUAGGGAAUAUAGUUACAUUCUGUUAGUGGGUGAUUGAUGCCAAAUGUAUUUAAGCUACCUGAUGAGCUGAAUCUGGACCCCAAGCAAUGAAAUGAAGAAUCCUCCCUCUCUCUAUUCUCUCUCUUUCUUCUAUUUCUUUGUCUUAAAUUCUUCUCUUAUCUUCUAUUCUUUCUUCUAACUAAAAUAUUCAUAACGUUAGUGGAUCAUUUGAUCUCCUACAUCAUAAUAGUAGCACAAGGUUGCACGCUUUCUUAGUUUCUUAUGAACCUCAACAGUCAACACUUUCCUACUUAAAAUCUAUCAUUACCACUUUUUGUUCUCAAUAUUAAAAUAGUUAUGGCUCUGUUUGGUUGUGAGCUUUUUCAAGGGAGUUUAGAGUUUUUGGGUCACUUCAGAGGUUUUUCUUGCGGUUUGGUACAGAGAGCUUUCGAUUGGAGUAUUUAUUGAGCCCAAAACUGUGACUUUGGAAAUGCUGUUCUAAGCAGCGUUUACAACAGAGUUUUCUAAAUGGUUCAAAUUAAUUGACAAAUUUACCCAACAGAGUUUUCGGGUCAAUUCAGAUGUUUUUCUUGCUACUUUAGUCGUUCUACUAUCACUAUUGUAGGCACAAUAUACGAAGUUUUUGGUUCUUGGGUAGGACUUUCCUCUAUUUCUGUCUUGUGUUCGCCUUUGACUAGAAAGGAUUUUGUUGUAGUUCUAUGGUGAUUAACAUUUUGAACA
Beta vulgaris subsp. vulgaris (sugar beet) is the source of this 3115-nucleotide long non-coding RNA. RefSeq lists it as uncharacterized. NCBI's taxonomy places the organism in Eukaryota, Viridiplantae, Streptophyta, Magnoliopsida, Caryophyllales, Amaranthaceae. The transcript has 2 exons. The record is from RefSeq and is a predicted model, not a curated record.